RNAcentral lists this ribosomal RNA (486 nucleotides) under uncultured bacterium. RNAcentral's name for it is "bacterial SSU rRNA". It matches the Rfam family "Bacterial small subunit ribosomal RNA", at positions 28 to 507 of the family's 1533-position model. The record is from RNAcentral.
GACGAACGCUGGCGGCGUGGAUUAGGCAUGCAAGUCGAACGGUAUCAUCCUUCGGGGGUGAGAGAGUGGCGAACUGGUGAGUAACACGUAGGUUAUCUACCCUCAAGACGGGGACAACCCAGGGAAACUUGGGCUAAUACCGGAUGUGAGCAACUUUUAGUUGUUUGAAAGGUGGCGUAAGCUGUCGCUUGGGGAUGAGCCUGCGUCCUAUUAGUUAGUUGGUGAGGUAACGGCUCACCUAGGCAAUGAUAGGUAGGCGGCCUUAACGGGUGGUCGCCCACACUGGAAUUGAGAUACGGCCCAGACUCCUACGGGAGGCAGCAGUCGAGAAUAGUCUACAAUGGUCGGAAGACUGAUAGUGCGACGCCGCGUGAACGAUGAAUCCCUUCGGGGUGUAAAGUUCUUUUAUAUGUGAGCAGUGCUUCUUAUAUUAACAGUAUGGGGAGAGAGAUAUUAGCAUAUGAAUAAGCAACGGCUAACUCCGUG